CAGCUCCAUUGUGAGCGCUGUGACCUUCGACACACAGCCCACGUGACACCGAGGCUCAGCUGAUCUCGCCGCUCCGGAGGAGCUAGAGCUGCGGCGGCGGCGGCUGCCUGUUCCAGCCCAGCCCCAGAAAGCGAGAGGAGCUGCUGCUGGAAGCUGGGCACCCUUUCUGCCGAGCUAGACACCACACAUAAGUGCUUUUGUAUUUAGCCCCCCCCCCUCCCUUCAGCUUUUCAAUGUCCUCUGUGUCUCCUUUACCAGGGUAGGAGCAAAGCCAUUUUCUAACUAAAAAUAAUAAAAAUCUAAUGGACAUCCAAUAAUUUUAUACACUUUUGGUGUUAACCCCCAUCCCCCUUUUUUGCGGUGUAAAUACCACCACUGAUUUAUUUGUAGGGAACAGCAAAGGAAAUUCCACGCACACACUGUAAACUGACUUUACCCUGGCUCUGAACUUUAAAUAACUUUCCAGCCCCAGGGAAUACAUUUUUUCUCCUCUUUUCUGCUAUAUAUCUUACUAUGGUUUACAUUAUCAUUUGUGAAAUGAAUUAUAUGUUAUUUACAUCAAUGUGCAGCUUCCAGAUCUUUGUAUGUCUCUCUUUCUUCUGGAAUUGCACAAAUAAAUUGUUGAAUAACUCUACUAGUAUCUUGUAGAUGGACACUAUGGAGAGAGGGCAUUCAAAUUGUCCAUAAUAAUAAUUAUUAUUGUUAUUAUUAUUUAUUAAUGUAUUAUUAUAUACUAUUUUUAAAGCUGAAAUAGUAGAUGUAUAUUUUGACCUGAUACUUUCUCAAGUGCUGUGGAAAUCUGAAUCUGUUUGAUUUAGUAUUUGUUCUUCCAUUAUGCAAUACAGGCCCUGAUCUUGCAAGCACUUAUUCACAUGCUUAACUUUACAUACUGUUAGUCCCAAAAGUAUUUGUAGGAUUGGGGCCUUAAUGUUUCUUUUGUACAUACAGACAUUUUGUAAUAUGUAUACCUAUAAAAUGAAAAAAACUGAUAUCCGUGUAAUGUUAUGGUUGAGAGUUUACAUACACAAAAAUCAGAGAACUUUAGACCUAGACCCCCAAGGUUUUCCAUUUAAAUCUGUGGAGGUUAGGAGACUAAAUAGUUUGUGGAUUUAAGCCUUAGUGCUAUGAUUUCCACAGCAAAUAUAACUCAGCUCUUUUUCAUAUACAUAGAAUUUUCUAUUAAUAUAUAUGGCAAUAUAUUUAUGCUUUAAAUAUAUGAACUAUGUAAUAUUGCUGCGGGAACAUUAACCAUGACUUUUGUGAGUAAUUUGUGUGUUUAAAAUCCCAUCUGUAACAUUCUAUUAAUGUACUUUUUGUAUGUCUUUACAAAAAAUACAAAACCAGAGUUUUUGUGCAUUUACUUGAGUUAGAUCCAAAUUAUGAUACAUCAACACAAAUACACUGUUUGCUUGAACAUGUAAUUAUUAAAAUAAACAUGAGUGAUUGUAUUUCAGCGAGCAUAUUCAGAUAUAUGCAUACAGUUUGUGUUUAUCUGGAUUAUUGCACUGUGGGCUCAGCCCUGCUCCUAUUUGAAGUCAGUGGCAAAUCUUCCAACGACUUCAUUGUGUGAAGGAUUUGGCGCUUGAAACAGUAAGGAAAUGAUGUAUUGCAGCACAAUUAUUUUAACUCAUUAAUACUUUUAUUUCUUAAUAUUUUUUCCAAUUUACUAAAGCAUAACUUUUCACAUUAAAUUGGUUUAGAGUAAUAUGAGUGUGAAAAAAGUGCAGCCUAAAAAUUUCAUAAACAUGAUAAACAUUAUCUGAAACUUACUGGAUGGAAUUUUACCAAGGUUUCCCAGGAAGACCCAGUAUUUGGGUUAGUGAACUACCAGGAGAAAUGUCAACCAAAAUGGUUGAUGACAGGGCUUUCAGCAGAUUGGACUUCUGCUUGGAAGCAGCAGUGAAAAGACAGUUUUCAUUGGGAGUUAUGAGAACCAUUUAUAGUUAUCAAGAGGAUCCUAACAGAGCCCUUCCCAGUGACCCUCAGAGAGCUAGACUUCUGGUUCUAAGCCCUUGAUGCACUGCAGCCAGGACAUCUGUAGAAGGAAAGAGGAGCUGCCAGUAAAGGCGACUGUAUUAUCAAAUGAGCUGUGCUGAAAAAAAGCCUCCUCCUUCUUCCCCCUCCAAGAACAGCCACACUGUAGACUCAAGCCACCAGCCUCCCCAGCACAUGCCAGAGGCAAGGGAGUCAAAAUAAAGGCCUUGUCCCCAGGCCAAGGAGGUACUUUGAGGAGGGAAGAGAGAGGAAAUAACCAGGGGAUUGGUGAACAACAGGACUAGACAGGAGGAAGAGAGAAAUCAGGCACUGGAGCAAAGGAGCUGCCUAGAAGUCUGGCAGGAGGAAGUAGUGUGGGGUUGGGUGGGAGGAAGGAGCGUGACGUCUGAGGGAAGUAAGGAGAUUGGUAACAGAGGAGAGGAAGGUAGUCCAGAUGGGAGAAAGAGCACAGAGUUGGGAGGAGCCAGGAAGCAGUCACUAGUGCACCCAAGGGAGUUCGGUGUAUGGGACCUGGAGAAAGAGCUGGAAAGUGGGAUUGGGGUGGAGAUGGAGGAAAGAAUUAGUGUCUGGGAAGAGAUGCACUAGGCUGGAGGGGUCAAGCUAAGCUCAGAGGACAACAAACAUAUUGUAUGUGUGUAGUUGUGUGUUUUGUACAAUCACAAAUUGGAGCAUGAUUUGGCAGGGAGAUGGUCCAGAAGAUGAUUGUUCUAAGGACUGUUUUAUGCUACGAACCAAUAUGCAUUGCUUCUGCUUUGGACCUGCUGCUCCUGAUCUUGCUGAAAUCAAUGGGAGUUUUGCAAUUGACUUCUUGGGAACAGGAUCCAUGUCUUUUAUGUUUACAAGAGACUCAAAAGUAGCAAAAAGUAUAUUUGGUUCAUUUGUAGUUUUUUAUUAGUAAAGUAAAAAGUCUGUGAAAUUCAGACCUUUUAAUGUCCCUUCAGUUUAAAUAGUUUUUAGAGGUAAUUAUUUUAAGAACAAUUUCACAAGAUGUUACCCGAGGCAAAUCAUAUAAAAUUAAAACAAAGAGUCUGUCAAAUUCCAAGUCUGUAGGAAGUUUUAAAAUUUUUAGUCUUCUGGAAUUCCUGUGGUUCACGAUUUAUUCUUGAUACAUGCCAGAAGGAAAUAUAAGGCACCAAAAUAUAUACAGAAAUAAAUGUAAUUAAAUUGAAAUAAUAAUUGUAAUUAUUUGAAAGCAGGCACAAUUCAAUAUUGAUUUUAAAUGUCAUGUAAAUCAUAAUCAGAUUAACAUGAUUUAAAAAAAAUCUGAACUUUGUAAUAGAACAAGGCGUGUCUAUGUAUUUUUAAAUUAUGAAAUUUUGCAUUCACCUAAAGCUUAGAAUAGGAACAUGUUAUAAAAAUAAACAAGUAACAAAGACUAGAAGUUAGUGCAUCAUAGACUAUCUCUUCAGAUAAUGGAUAAAAGUAUAGUUACUAAUCACUGAGGAACAGCUGUACUAGUUAUUUGAUAAUUUCUUAAAAAAUAAUAUACAGAUGAAAGCUUCAAGAUUUAAAAAAAUACAUGUUUAAAAAGUUAUCAGUGUGCGCUAGUUAUUUUAAGUCUCAUAGUUGGUUUUAUGGUUAGAUACGUACAGUUUGCUCAUAUGAAUGAAUUAUGUUCUUUUCUUUGCUGCUCUGUCUGGUAUAUAGAAGUCUUGUUGUCAGAUGUGGGGCCAGAUUUUGUUCACCUUACUCGUGUAGGUAGUCUCCUAACUUAAAAUGUUGGACUUUUUGUGUAAGACAAACAAGAUUUGGCUAGGGAUUUCUGUGCUCUUUGUUAGGGCUUGAUCCUGCAAACACAUAUGUGAGUAGCUUUAUUCAGAUGACUAGUAUCAUGGAGCUCAGUUGGACCACCGAUCUGAGUGAAGUUACUCAAGUGCAUAAGUAUUUGCAAGAUUGCAUCCUUAAAAUGUCAGAAGACUUGUGUGUGACUCAUACAUCUAUGCAAAGACAGUACAAAUUUGAACUGAAAAGCAAAUGUACUAAAGAGAAUGUUUGUGAUAGUUUAAUCGAUAAUGUACCUAUAAAUGUAUAUAUAUUUUGAAACACAUUUUAUUUACAUGUACCUUGUGAUGAUUGUAUGUAGCUGCUAAAUUUUAUGUUUUAAAAAUAGGAAUUAAGUAUUCAUUCUAAAAAUCCUUACAAAUACUAGUUACUGUGCAUACUUGCAGCCAACCCAAUGUUUAGUUGCACAAGCAUAGUUCAGAAUAGUAAUCAAUUUCCUCACUUGUAUGACAUAAAAAUGAACAAAACAUAUUUUGCAAAUGUCAAGUAGAGAAGAUUCUCCUGGGCUGAGUCCUGGUGUGCCAGCUUUAGUUAAAAAUUGGAUUUAUAAUGGCAAUGCUGACACAAUCCUCUAUCUAGACUACUAAACUCAGAUUUAAUAAACACCAGUCUAUGAUCUUCAUAUUAUUAAUGUCAGUCAGCAUACUUUACAUUUAAGGCAAAAAUUCUGCUUCCUUAUUUAUGCACAUAAUCCCAUUCAAGUCAAUAGAACUACCCAUAUGAGCAGGGUGAGCAGGACUUGACACAAAGUACAAAGGUAGUGUGAUGAGUCUCCUUUUACUAAAUGCACUAUAAAGCUCUUGAAUCUAGGACUCAAUCCUGCAAUGUUUACUCACCUGAAUAAAUCUUAUUUAGGCAAAUAGUCCCAUUGACUUCUCUCAGAGGAAUAGGAUUGCAGGAUCAGGCCCCUAGAUUGAUUUCCCCCCUAAAUUUAUAUUAUAUUACAUGGGAAUGAAGGGCUCAAUCUUGUAACCCUCCCUGACAUGAGUACUUACACCAGUGAAAAUUACUGAGUCAGGUUUCCAGGGCUGGGCUCCAAAACCUCUGUAAAUGUAUCUAAUAGUAUUGAUAAUAUUAAAUGCUAAAAUAAUCAGUUCCUUUAUACAUCCCUCUUCCAUUGUUUUUUACUUAGGACAAACAGUAAGCAUUAUUGAAAUACACUUAAAAAUGCGGUGAUAUGUUUUAUAAUUAAGGGUCUACUUAGAUUAUAAUAUUGCAGAAAUUGCAGAUUCUGCAACAUUAGACUUAGUUCCACCUCAGUUUUGACAGCAGGAGCCCCGCUACGUGCAUGGCUAACAGUGGGAACCCCAGACACUCUGGGGCUGAGAGCGGGAGCCCCCGCUGUCAGUCCCAGGCGGCCGCUGUCAGCCCUGGGCCCCCGCUAUCAGCCCUGAGCAGCUGUCAGCGGGAGCCCUCACUCUCAGCCCCAGGCAGCUGACAGUGGGAAACCCAGCUCUCAGCCAUGGGCGGCCAACAGGAGAAGCCCCCCGCUCUCUGCUCCAUGUUUCCCCUGUCAGCCCUGGACCCCUACUCUUAGCCCUGGGCAGCCGACAGCAGGAGACCCCGCUCUCAGCCCCAGGCAGCCAACAGCGGAAUACAGUAUCGUGGAGAAGUAAUAAUGGACUUUAUUACCACAAAUAAUAAGGUCCAUUAUUACUUUUCUGCAAUUUUCCAUGGCUUGUCCAGAGCUCAGCAACAAUUUUUUGACAAUCAUCCCUCAGUUCAAGAAGGGCCUUAUUUAUAAUAUAAUAAUAGUUGAAGUCCCUGGGUGUUUUGCAUCACUGAAUAGUUUUAUGCAAGGAUAUCUGUAUAUAAGUGUAAUCUCACAUCCAUUCUCAGCACAAUUUAGCUAAAUUCAUGAUAUAUUAAGCCACAACUGGAGGAAGAGGAAGUGAGCAAUUUUCCAAUUUAUGUAAUUUAAGAGAAAUAUGGGUUGGGGAGCGGGUUAAUGGCUUUUGGCUGUAUUAGAUAAAAAUACAUCUAUUGACUAGGCAGCGAAAUCCUGUUAAAGGUGGAAGAAGCCCCAAAACAUGAUUUUUUCAAUGCUUCUGUGGUUCUCUAUGGCCAUGUAGGACACAAGGGCUGGGUGAAUUUUUGUUGAAUAGGGCCCUUAGAUAUUUAUAGAAGAUCAUAAUUAUUAUUAUUUUCUGUAUUGGUUUUAUAUUAAUGGGUUGUUCCAGCUUAUAUUGUUUGGCUUGAGAUUUUAACAAAUUUAACCAAAUCAUGUAUUUAAAACAUAUAGAACAAAUUCAGAAAACAAGAGCUGUUUUAGGGUUGCUUACUUAUCUUUUUGGGAGUGGAAUGUUUUGAACCGUACAAUUGAAUGGAUUAUUUUAAUUGAAGAAAAAAAAAAGAUUAAAGGUUUCCAGGUGCAUAAACAGGCACACACGUCUUCUCUGUAAGCAGGUUAACAUAUUAUUUUUAUAUAUUGCAAAGAAAGCAAAGUAAACUCUGUGAAAAUCUGGAAAUUCCGAAUACAUAAAGAAACCAAUUGUUAAAGCGAUGUAAAUGUUAUUACAAUAUUUUAAAUGCCAGUUAACUGUGUAAUGGCAAGAAUAGCAGGGCCAUAACAUUUAAGCCAUACGUGGUCAUAUGUUUUUCAUGUUUUGUACUUCCAAUGAGGUAAAGUUUCUCCUGGACACUGAUCAGAAGGUAUGUAGCGUAGCAACCUGCAAUGUGAGAAAAAAACAGUUAAUUACAAUCCUUUUUAGUUAAUGUAAGGGAAUGUGGAAAAAGGAAACAAUUUUGGAUUAUGUUCUUUUGAAAGAUUUGUGUUAAACAUAAGUAUCUCAGAGUGUGAUCCCGAGGUGCCUACACAAUGACCGUGGCUAUAUAUGCCCUUUUGUAUUUCAUUUUUGCUUUACUGAAGUUGAAUUUCAGGUAUGUAAACUGAGCACUCAGUUAUAAUAUAAUUCAAAUAGGAACCUCAGGAAAUUUAGAAUGGACUUCAUAUAAUGACAGAAAGAGGGGGAGGGAGACUAAGGGGCCCCUCCUGCAGCUAUAGGGCACUCCUGUGCAGUUGAGCAGGUGUGGUUCUACUGCCCAAGGGAGGGAAGCUGGCUGGAUGCCAAGAGUCACAGGGGGAUGUACAUCUCCCGCCUGUUAUGGAGCUGAUUGUGCAGGGUCUCUGCAUCACAGCAUGUAGGGGGAGAGUGGGAAAGCUGGGUUUGAGCCGUGUCAGGGAUUUGUUGCUCUGCAGAUCCUGCCAUUCUCCACCCCAUAGGAGGGCUGUGCCAAGGGCUGAAGAAUGUACUCUGCAGCCCUGGAGUCGCUUGGAUGGGAGGAUCCCUUUCCACGAGGCCUUGUACAUUUCAAUGCAUGUUGUGGCUGCUUGAGCUAGGUGCUGAUGUCUGGAUUUUAGCCCAAAUAUAUUAAGCAGCAGAGAACUGAUAUUUCCUAUUCUUAAGCAUUAAAGAAUCUUAAUAACCUU
Chelonia mydas (Green sea turtle) is the source of this 7207-nucleotide long non-coding RNA. RefSeq lists it as uncharacterized. The transcript has 3 exons. NCBI's taxonomy places the organism in Eukaryota, Metazoa, Chordata, Testudines, Cheloniidae. The record is from RefSeq and is a predicted model, not a curated record.